AGCCCCUUGUCAACGUUGGGCAAAUUGGAAAAGAAAAUGGCAGCGCGUGUUUUGAUUUUUGCUCGUGCUUUGUAUUUUUUUGCAAGUUCGCGAGUUUUCUAAUUAUUUUUCGACUCAAAAUAGUAAAAACUUAAUGGUGCAAGUGAUGGCCGUAAGAUGACCCUUCAACUGGACAUAACUCAGCGGAUUGGAAAUAGCCUGCAUUCCGUGGCCACCGGUAUCUUGGACGAUGGACGGUUUACCACCGGAAAACAACGUAAGAAGGAGCCCAAGCCGGCACGAGAUGCUGAAGAUGCCAAACCAGAAUCAAGGGCGAGUUUGUGAUCGCGAGAGAGUUGGAGGAUAAUAUACCGAGUGCAGUGUAUCUUAGUUAGUCUUGUUUUUAUGAGUAAAUAAAGGUUUUGAUAAAAGUUUUU
Long non-coding RNA from Culex quinquefasciatus (southern house mosquito), 416 nucleotides. RefSeq lists it as uncharacterized. The record is from RefSeq and is a predicted model, not a curated record. The transcript has 2 exons. Lineage: Eukaryota; Metazoa; Arthropoda; Insecta; Diptera; Culicidae.